RNAcentral lists this ribosomal RNA (293 nucleotides) under uncultured bacterium. Its description in RNAcentral is "partial 16S ribosomal RNA". It matches the Rfam family "Bacterial small subunit ribosomal RNA", at positions 338 to 645 of the family's 1533-position model. The record is from RNAcentral.
CCUACGGGGCGCAGCAGUGGGGAAUAUUGCACAAUGGGCGAAAGCCUGAUGCAGCAACGCCGCGUGAAGGAAGACGGUUUUCGGAUUGUAAACUUCUAUCACUAGGGAAGAAAGAAAUGACGGUACCUAAAUAAGAAGCCCCGGCUAACUACGUGCCAGCAGCCGCGGUAAUACGUAGGGGGCAAGCGUUAUCCGGAAUUACUGGGUGUAAAGGGAGAGUAGGCGGCAAGGAAAGCGAUAUGUGAAAGCCUUACGCUUAACUAAAGGAUUGCCUACGCAACUAUCUAGCUAGA